Molecule: ribosomal RNA, 504 nt
Filed under: uncultured bacterium
Lineage: Bacteria
Description: partial 16S ribosomal RNA
Rfam family: Bacterial small subunit ribosomal RNA
Source: RNAcentral
GAUGAACGCUAGCGGCAGGCUUAACACAUGCAAGUCGAGGGGCAGCAUAAAUAGUAGCAAUACUAUUGGUGGCGACCGGCGGACGGGUGCGUAACGCGUAUACAACCUUCCCUAAACAGGGGGAUAAUCUGGAGAAAUUCGGUCUAAUACCCCAUAACAUCAGAGCAGGCAUCUGUUUUGGUUAAAAUUUCCGGAGGUUUAGGAUGGGUAUGCGUAGCAUUAGCUAGUUGGUGAGGUAACGGCUCACCAAGGCGACGAUGCUUAGGGGGACUGAGAGGUUAACCCCCCACACUGGUACUGAGACACGGACCAGACUCCUACGGGAGGCAGCAGUGAGGAAUAUUGGUCAAUGGGCAGAAGCCUGAACCAGCCAUGCCGCGUGCAGGAUGACGGCUCUAUGAGUUGUAAACUGCUUUUGUACGAGGGUAAACCCAGGGACGUGUCCUUGGUUGAAAGUACCGUACGAAUAAGGAUCGGCUAACUCCGUGCCAGCCGCCGCCGUAA